Phascolarctos cinereus (koala) is the source of this 1818-nucleotide long non-coding RNA. NCBI's taxonomy places the organism in Eukaryota, Metazoa, Chordata, Mammalia, Diprotodontia, Phascolarctidae. The record is from Ensembl.
GUCCAAGCUUCCUGGCUGGCUUGGGAUCAGGGUGGAAACUUUCCACCCCGGGAGGAGGAUUCUCUGGAAAGUUCUGAGGCCGCCUGAGUGAGCAGAGGUUCACAGUGGGGCCCUGGCCCUUUAAAUCAUCUCUUCAGGGCUGUGGCUGAGGGGUCCCAGAGGCCAGACACCAACCUCUGCCUCCCAGAGCCCAGGCCCCAGAUCUAGGGUUGCCUCAUCCUCCCACUUACACACCGGCAUCUCCAGAACCAAGUGAUUCAAUGGGCCUAGCCCCCAGCCCAGCCAACUGACAAUGGGCGCACUGGGGAGGUCACCGAGCCCAACCGCCAGGGCUCCAAAGGGGAAAGUAAGGCCAAAGGAGAUUCUGAUUCGACUGGACACUGGGAUCUUGGGAAAAGAACAUGGGGCAGAGUUUGGGAGCCUGGCUGACUGAAAGGAGGGCGACCGCAUUGAUUGUCAGCCUGCCAAGCAUGGUGGACAUUUCCCCAGAUGGUCCCACAUCAGACAUGUGGCUUCCUCCCUGAACUUUCUGGCCAUCAGGUGUGCGUGUAUCAGUGGUCAAUGGGCUGCGAGCCCUGGAAAGAGAAGGAGCAAGGAGCAGAAAGGAGGUUAGUCCUGGAAGGAGGCAGCCGCGGGAGGAGUGAAGCCGCCUGGGCUAUGCUCUCUGGCCUGCUGAACAUGCGAUUUUCUUGCUACAUUUCGCUUGCCCAUGCCAAGCAGACACCUCCUCCCUCUCCUGCCCAGAGCGCCAGCUCUUGUAGCCAAGAGCCGCGGUUGGGAAACCAACUGACUCGGGGACCCAGUGUGAGAGUGGACGCAGCACCGGCCUCAGCAGCCAGGAGUCUGAUGGUCGGCUCUGGAAGGCUGGAGGAGGACACCCAGGAUGGAAGAGCCUGGAGCCAGGCCCAGGGGACCCCCGAAGGCCCCCAGGCUGGAGAGAGAGGGCCCAGCAGGGCGAGCUGAAUGAAGCCUCAGAGGCCAAACCUCUCAUGCCAUAGGGGAGGAGACUGAGGCACAGAAAGGUUAGGUGGCUUUCCCAGAGUCCAAAACCAGGAAGGGUCCAGGCAGGACCUGAUCUCAGGUCUUCCCAGCUGCCCACUCAGAGCUUUAUCCACUGCCCUGUGCAGCUGCCCCAAACUGGAGAACUUUCUUCAGGUUUUUGAGGGCCUUUCCUGUGGAAGACAGUGGCUGUCUAGGGCAGACUUAGGGAUGUGGGGGAAUAUUCAGACAGGCAGAUUGGGACCAACAGAAGAAAACACUGUCUGGCCAUCGGGUUCCCACACCAUGGGAGCUGGGGCUGGGAAGGGCCAACCUCCUUGACCCCAGGGGUCUGAGUGGGGCAUUUGUGGGUGAUCUCAAGCAGCCCUGCAGCUAGUGGGGACCCUCCCGGCUCUGCCAUCCCCUGUGCUAAGGCUCCUCCCAGAUUUUUCCUCCUGGGUUCCAAGGACCCUCCCAGCUCUCCCUCUCCAGGGCCGCUUGGGGACUGCCCUCCGCUUGGGUGGCCCUGCUUCAGAAGAGGGCAGAGGGCCAAACUGAAGACGGGACUGCAGGCCAGGGCAGUCAGCCUGAGAGGCUGUGUCUGUGUUUGCUCGGAGCCACCUUCUGCUCUGACUCCAGGCCUCUCUCCUGCUGGAGGAGUAAGUGCCCCUUCCUCACAGCCUCCAGGCUGAGGAAGGCUUGACCAUCUGGGCUGAGUUUCAAGGAUAAUGGCUUCCUUUGGGUUCCUCCUCUUUCCCUCCACCCCUCUCUUGGGAUUCUCAGGGCCUGGCAUACAGUAGGUGCUUAAUAAAUGCUGAAUGAGUUGAAGAUCUUUUCUCA